UUCGUGCUGGUCGCAGGCAGAGAAACUCCACAUGACCCCUACUCUCUGGACCUGGCCACUGGGGUGAAUGUUCCCAGCUGAGUUCCAGAACCUGCAGAGAGCAGAUCGGAUCCAGCCCAAGAGAACCGGAAGGGGGUGGGCUGUCCUUUAUCCCGUGUUCCCUCAGCCUGAUGGGCGGUAGCUGGGGUGCAACCCCCCACCCCCACCCCGACCCCCAAGGUGGCCACGGAUUCAGGCAAGGCCCCGCCGCUGUGGCCGCGGCUUCUCUCGCUCCCUCCCUCACCCCAGAUGGUGUGGCUGAUGCUGUCCCUCUGUGUCACGGUAACUCUUGGUAACAAUUCAAGUGGAUCGAGUUCUUACUACGCGACGGUCACAGUUGUACCCGUUCCACGUGCGUUCGAUCUUUAUUUUGCAAACCAGCCGUCAGUUAGGUACUAUUUUCAUGUUCGUGGACGGACGAGGAACCUGAGGCACAGUGCGCCUGAGUAGCCCGCGCGAGGUCUCACCCUGCUGGGAUUAGCUCGUAACUUGGUUUUCACGCAUCCAGUUGAGAAUGUGUCUGAUGACACAGAAGAAAGAUCAUCAGCACAGAGUCACUGAACACUUCAAAAUGAUGACACGAAUGCAUUUUCAAGAAUAACCCAUCUCAAAUUCUGUGGCGGGGCGCCUGGGGCGUUCGGUGGGUUGAGCGUCAGACUCUUGACUUGGGCUCUGGUCCCGAUCUCAAGGUUGUGGGAUCCAGCCCCACGUGGGGCUCUGCUCUGAAGGUGCAAAGUCUGCUUGGAGUUCCCCCUCCC
Molecule: long non-coding RNA, 797 nt
Organism: Neofelis nebulosa (Clouded leopard)
Lineage: Eukaryota; Metazoa; Chordata; Mammalia; Carnivora; Felidae
Exons: 3
Source: RefSeq, a predicted model, not a curated record